AGGAUGAAGGGUUUGAUCCUGGCUCAGGGUAAACGCUGGCGGCGUGCGUAACACAUGCAAGUCGGACGGGUUAUACAUCUUCGGAUGUAUAAUCAGUGGCGAACGGGUGAGUAAAAGGUAGGGACCUACCCCGAGGACAGAGAUAGCUACUGGAAACGGUAGGUAAACUCUGAUAAGCCCGAGAGGGGAAAGUGGGAGUCAGCCUUGGGAUGGACCUACUAUCCAUCAGGUAGUUGGUGAGGUAAAGGCUUACCAAGCCGAUGACGGAUAACCGGUGUGAGAGCAUGGACGGUCACAAGGGCACUGAGACACGGGCCCUACUCCUACGGGAGGCAGCAGUGGGGAAUAUUGGACAAUGGGCGAAAGCCUGAUCCAGCGACGCCGCGUGAAGGAAGAAGUCCUUCGGGAUGUAAACUUCUGAACUAAUCGAAUAAGAGGGUAGUGGACACACUACAGAAGAAGGUAGAUUAGGAAAAGUCCCGGCUAACUACGUGCCAGCAGCCGCGGUAAGACGUAGGGGGCGAGCGUUGCCCGGAAUCACUGGGUGUAAAGGGGACGUAGGCGGAUGAUCAAGUCAUCUGUGAAAAGAUUGCUCAACGAUUGGCUUGCGGAUGAAACUGGUCAUCUUGGGCGUAGCAGAGGUAGACGGAAUUACCUGAGUAGGGGUGAAAUCCGCAGAUACAGGUAAGAAGGCCGGUGAAGAAGUUGGUCUACUGGGCUACAGCUGACGCUGAGGUCCGAAAGCCAGGGGAGCGAACCGGAUUAGAUACCCGGGUAGUCCUGGCUGUAAACGAUGCUCACUAGGUGUAGGGAGCGAAAGACUCUCUGUGCUGAAGCGAACGCGCUAAGUGAGCCACCUGGGGAGUACGUCCGCAAGGAUGAAACUCAAAGGAAUUGACGGGGGUCCGCACAAGCGGUGGAGCAUGUGGUUUAAUUCGAAGCUAACCGAAGAACCUUACCAGGGAUUGACAUGUAACUGAAGGUAGAGAAAUCUACUGGCCUGCCG
This 1006-nucleotide ribosomal RNA is filed under the name Petrotoga halophila DSM 16923. RNAcentral's name for it is "bacterial SSU rRNA". It matches the Rfam family "Bacterial small subunit ribosomal RNA", at positions 1 to 1021 of the family's 1533-position model. The record is from RNAcentral. Lineage: Bacteria; Thermotogati; Thermotogota; Thermotogae; Petrotogales; Petrotogaceae.